ACUGUGAAGCAUCCUGUUAAGUCAGGCACGAGCCGAGACCCACGCCAACAGUUGCCAGCUCGUCCUCCGGGAUUGGUGGGGACACUGUUAGGGACCGCCUCUGCUAAAGAGGAGGAAGGAAUGGGCAACGGUAGGUCAGCAUGCCCCGAAUUAUCUGGGCUACACGCGGGCUACAAUGGGUGGGACAAUGGGUAUCGACACCGAAAGGUGAAGGCAAUCUCCUAAACCCAUCCGUAGUUCGGAUUGUGGGCUGCAACUCGCCCACAUGAAGCUGGAAUCUGUAGUAAUCGUGUCUCAAAAUGGCACGGUGAAUAUGUCCCUGCUCCUU
RNAcentral lists this ribosomal RNA (328 nucleotides) under uncultured Methanomicrobiales archaeon. RNAcentral's name for it is "bacterial SSU rRNA". It matches the Rfam family "Archaeal small subunit ribosomal RNA", at positions 1013 to 1338 of the family's 1478-position model. Lineage: Archaea; Methanobacteriati; Methanobacteriota; Methanomicrobia; Methanomicrobiales. The record is from RNAcentral.